CACAGGAGCUCAGACUCCACUCCUCCUGUGAACUCUUCUGUUGACACUGCUUCAUCACCUCCUCAGGGUCUCACCUCCUUCCUCACUGUACUCAUAGCAGGCCUGGUUCCUGUGGUUCUUCUGGUUCUGCUCUUGGUUCUAGUUCAACUUCUUUUCCACUGCAAAAAGCAAAAUGAAGCAAAUGAUACACAUCAAGCUGAUACAGAUGUUGUCUACUCUGACGUGAGGAUUCUCACUGCAGAGCAGUCAGCUGAUCCAGGUGUUGUGUAUUCAUCACUGAGAGCAGAUUUCCUUGGACGUGUCCCUGAUUCUGCCCUGAAUCCCUGAGUGAGGCUGAGGACACCCUGGGCCUGAUGGACCUUCAUCCUUCCCUCUGCUCCUCUUCUUCAUGCUGUCUGUGCUUUAGUCUGUUUUAAAUACAGCUGUUAGCUCUCACCUGUGCACACAGUAACAUCUGCUCAGGAAGCAGGUUCAGUAACUCUGAGUUUCCUGUUGUCACCUAUGCAGAUUUCAGACUUGCAACCAGACGCUGUGCUGCACUCUAACACACUCUCACACUGAUGGAGGCUGCAGACUGUUUAGCACAGAGGUCCUCUGACUGCCAAUCCACAGUCUCUGAUUGGUGGGGACCCGCUGUACCCCUGAGUCACAGACAGAAGCAGUAGUGAGAGCUGAGGACACAGGUGUGAAUGAGGGUCUGUGACCUCCUCAGAGAGCUGAGUCUGUGUGACAGAGCGUGGAUGUGAGCCUGAGUCGACGCUCACUGUGAGCUCAGCAGCAUUAACAUGCACUGAGAGCGACACACACAACUACUGUCUGUCCCCUCUGAUGUCCACACAGACACACUUAGGCAGCAGCAGGUGCAGCAGGUGCAGCAGGUGAGGUCAAAGCACAGAAGCACUGAGAUGAGCCGACAGCGCCCUCUGCUGGUCCCAGUUUGCGCUGCUGCUGAUCGUCCACAGACCAUAUUUGUUCAUUCCAUUUUCCUCCUACAUGCUCUCCUUCACACUCUUUACAUGUUUGUACUAAAGAUCAGGAGUUAUGGCUUUCUGGAUGUGUGUCAUCUGUUGCCAUGGUAACUGACCCUGUUCAGGUUAUCCUUCUUACUGGGACCAAAAGGCUGGAGUUUCCUUCAUCUGAGGAUUAACAAACUCUGUUUCACUCAAACCUGCUUCCUGUAAGAGAAACUGUGUGUGUGUGUGUGUG
Molecule: long non-coding RNA, 1206 nt
Organism: Oreochromis aureus
Lineage: Eukaryota; Metazoa; Chordata; Actinopteri; Cichliformes; Cichlidae
Exons: 5
Source: RefSeq, a predicted model, not a curated record